UCCGGGAUAGCUGAGUCGAUAGAACAUGAGACUUAUAAUAAUAAUAAUAAAUAAAUCUCAGGGUCGUGGGUUCAAGCCCCACGUUAGGUGAA
Non-coding RNA from Podarcis lilfordi (Lilford's wall lizard), 92 nucleotides. The record is from the annotation of a GenBank genome assembly. NCBI's taxonomy places the organism in Eukaryota, Metazoa, Chordata, Lepidosauria, Squamata, Lacertidae.